GAUGAACGCUGGCGGCGUGCCUAAUACAUGCAAGUCGAGCGAACAGAUGAGGAGCUUGCUCCUCUGACGUUAGCGGCGGACGGGUGAGUAACACGUGGAUAACCUACCUAUAAGACUGGGAUAACUUCGGGAAACCGGAGCUAAUACCGGAUAAUAUAUUGAACCGCAUGGUUCAAUAGUGAAAGACGGUUUUGCUGUCACUUAUAGAUGGAUCCGCGCCGCAUUAGCUAGUUGGUAAGGUAACGGCUUACCAAGGCAACGAUGCGUAGCCGCCCUGAGAGGGUGAUCGGCCACACUGGAACUGAGACAGGGCCCAGACUCCUACGGGAGGCAGCAGUAGGGAAUCUUCCGCAAUGGGCGAAAGCCUGACGGAGCAACGCCGCGUGAGUGAUGAAGGUCUUCGGAUCGUAAAACUCUGUUAUUAGGGAAGAACAAAUGUGUAAGUAACUAUGCACGUCUUGACGGUACCUAAUCAGAAAGCCACGGCUAACUACGUG
RNAcentral lists this ribosomal RNA (497 nucleotides) under uncultured bacterium. Its description in RNAcentral is "partial 16S ribosomal RNA". It matches the Rfam family "Bacterial small subunit ribosomal RNA", at positions 28 to 507 of the family's 1533-position model. The record is from RNAcentral.